Molecule: ribosomal RNA, 303 nt
Filed under: uncultured bacterium
Lineage: Bacteria
Description: bacterial SSU rRNA
Rfam family: Bacterial small subunit ribosomal RNA
Source: RNAcentral
UGGGGAAUAUUGCGCAAUGGGGGAAACCCUGACGCAGCAACGCCGCGUGAGUGAGGAAGUAUCUCGGUAUGUAAAGCUCUAUCAGCGGGGAAGAAGGAAGACGGUACCCGACUAAGAAGCCCCGGCUAACUACGUGCCAGCAGCCGCGGUAAUACGUAGGGGGCGAGCGUUAUCCGGAUUUACUGGGUGUAAAGGGAGCGUAGACGGCGUCGCAAGUCUGAAGUGAAAGCCCGUGGCUCAACCGCGGAACCGCUUUGGAAACUGCGAGGCUGGAGUGCUGGAGAGGUAAGCGGAAUUCCUGGU